GACGAACGCUGGCGGAGGGAGGAACACAUGCAAGUCGAACGGAAAGGCCCUGCUUUUGUGGGGUGCUCGAGUGGCGAACGGGUGAGUAACACGUGAGUAACCUGCCCUUGACUUUGGGAUAACUUCAGGAAACUGGGGCUAAUACCGGAUAGGAGCUCCUGCUGCAUGGUGGGGGUUGGAAAGUUUCGGCGGUUGGGGAUGGACUCGCGGCUUAUCAGCUUGUUGGUGGGGUAGUGGCUUACCAAGGCUUUGACGGGUAGCCGGCCUGAGAGGGUGACCGGCCACAUUGGGACUGAGAUACGGCCCAGACUCCUACGGGAGGCAGCAGUGGGGAAUAUUGCACAAUGGGCGGAAGCCUGAUGCAGCAACGCCGCGUGCGGGAUGACGGCCUUCGGGUUGUAAACCGCUUUCGCCUGUGACGAAGCGUGAGUGACGGUAAUGGGUAAAGAAGCACCGGCUCACUACGUG
This 468-nucleotide ribosomal RNA is filed under the name uncultured bacterium. RNAcentral's name for it is "partial 16S ribosomal RNA". It matches the Rfam family "Bacterial small subunit ribosomal RNA", at positions 28 to 507 of the family's 1533-position model. The record is from RNAcentral.